Molecule: ribosomal RNA, 497 nt
Filed under: uncultured bacterium
Lineage: Bacteria
Description: partial 16S ribosomal RNA
Rfam family: Bacterial small subunit ribosomal RNA
Source: RNAcentral
GAUGAACGCUGGCGGCGUGCCUAAUACAUGCAAGUCGAGCGAACAGACGAGGAGCUUGCUCCUCUGACGUUAGCGGCGGACGGGUGAGUAACACGUGGAUAACCUACCUAUAAGACUGGGAUAACUUCGGGAAACCGGAGCUUAUACCGGAUAAUAUCUUGAACCGCAUGGUUCAAUAGUGAAAGUCGGUUUUGCUGUCACUUAUAGAUGGAUCCGCGCCGCAUUGGCUAGUUGGUAAGGUAACGGCUUACCAAGGCAACGAUGCGUAGGCGACGUGAGGGGGUGAUCGGCCACACUGGAACUGAGACAGGGUCCAGACUCCUACGGGAGGCAGCAGUAGGGAAUCUUACGCAAUGGGCAAAAACUUGACGGAGCAACGCCGCGUGAGUGAUGAAGGUCUUCGGAUCGUAAAGCUCUGUUAUGAGGGAAGAACAAAUGUGUAAGUAACUAUGCACGUCUUGACGGUACCUAAUCAGAAAGCCACGGCUAACUACGUG